AGAGUUUGAUCCUGGCUCAGAACGAACGCUGGCGGCGUGCCUAAUACAUGCAAGUCGUGCGAGAAAGUUCCGCUUCGGUGGAGCGAGUAAAGCGGCAGACGGGUGAGUAACACGUAAGUAAUCUGCCCCUAAGUUCGGAAUAACCUUGCCAACGCGGGGAUAAUACCGGAUGUGGUCACGAGAUCGCAUGGUUUCGUGAUUAAAGAUGACCUCUACUUGUAAGUUAUCGCUUUGGGAUGGGCUUGCGCACCAUUAGCUAGUUGGUAGGGUAACGGCCUACCAAGGCUGCGAUGGUUAGCCGACCUGAGAGGGUGAUCGGCCACAUUGGGACUGAGAUACGGCCCAGACUCCUACGGGAGGCAGCAGUAGGGAAUUUUGCGCAAUGGACGAAAGUCUGACGCAGCAACGCCACGUGAGGGAUGAAGGGUUUCGGCUCGUAAACCUCUGUUGAGUGGGAAGGAACGCCAUACGGUUAAUACCCGUAUGGUCUGACGGUACCACUCGAGGAAGCUCCGGCUAACUACGUGCCAGCAGCCGCGGUAAUACGUAGGGGGCAAGCGUUGUUCGGAAUUACUGGGCGUAAAGGGAGUGUAGGCGGGAGAGUAAGUCAGGAGUUUAAUCCACAGGCCUAACCUGCGGUCGGCUUUUGAUACUGCUUUUCUUGAGUAUGGGAGAGGAAGAUGGAAUUCCAGGUGUAGCGGUGGAAUGCGUAGAUAUCUGGAAGAACACCAGUUGCGAAGGCGGUCUUCUGGCCCAAUACUGACGCUGAGGCUCGAAAGCUAGGGGAGCAAACAGGAUUAGAUACCCUGGUAGUCCUAGCCAUAAACGAUGGACACUAGUUGGUGGGGGGGGUCAAUCCCUUCACUGACGUAGCUAACGCAUUAAGUGUCCCGCCUGGGGAGUACGCUCGCAAGGGUGAAACUCAAAGGAAUUGACGGGGGCCCGCACAAGCGGUGGAGCAUGUGCUUUAAUUCGAUCCACGCGAAGAACCUUACCUGGGCUUGACAUGGGAGUGAAAGUUUCCAGAGAUGGAAUCCUUUCCGCAAGGAACACUCUACACAGGUGCUGCAUGGUUGUCGUCAGCUCGUGUCGUGAGAUGUUGGGUUAAGUCCCGCAACGAGCGCAACCCCCGUCCUUAGUUGCCAUCAGUAAUGCUGGGAACUCUAGGGAGACUGCCUGGUCACAACCAGGAGGAAGGUGGGGAUGACGUCAAAUCAUCAUGGCUCUUACGUCCAGGGCUAGACACGUGCUACAAUGGUCGGUACAAUGGGCUGCGACAUCGCGAGGUGAAGCAAAUCCUUAAAACCGGUCUCAGUUCAGAUUGGAGUCUGCAAUUCGACUCCAUGAAGGUGGAAUCGCUAGUAAUCGCGGAUCAGCAUGCCGCGGUGAAUACGUUCCCGGGCCUUGU
RNAcentral lists this ribosomal RNA (1408 nucleotides) under metagenome. Its description in RNAcentral is "bacterial SSU rRNA". It matches the Rfam family "Bacterial small subunit ribosomal RNA", at positions 8 to 1384 of the family's 1533-position model. The record is from RNAcentral.